AUUGAACGCUGGCGGCAUGCUUUACACAUGCAAGUCGAACGGUAACAGGUUAAGCUGACGAGUGGCGAACGGGUGAGUAAUGCAUCGGAACGUGCCCGGGCGUGGGGGAUAACGCCGCGAAAGUUGCGCUAAUACCGCAAACGAUCUGAGGAUGAAAGCGGGGGACCGUAAGGCCACGCGCGAUCGGAGCGGCCGAUGUCAGAUUAGGUAGUUGGGGGGGUAAUGCCUCACCAAGCCAACGAUCUGUAGCUGGUCUGAGAGGACGACCAGCCACACUGGGACUGAGACACGGCCCAAACGCCUACGGGAGGCAGCAGUGGGGAAUUUUGGACAAUGGGCGAAAGCCUGAUCCAGCAAUGCCGCGUGCAGGAAGAAGGCCUUCGGGUUGUAAACUGCUUUUGUACGGAGCGAAAAGGUCUCCUCUAAUACAGGGGGCUCAUGACGGUACCGUAAGAAUAAGCACCGGCUAACUACGUGCCAGCAGCCGCAGUAA
This 493-nucleotide ribosomal RNA is filed under the name uncultured bacterium. RNAcentral's name for it is "partial 16S ribosomal RNA". It matches the Rfam family "Bacterial small subunit ribosomal RNA", at positions 29 to 523 of the family's 1533-position model. The record is from RNAcentral.